RNAcentral lists this non-coding RNA (45 nucleotides) under Schistosoma margrebowiei. The record is from RNAcentral. Lineage: Eukaryota; Metazoa; Platyhelminthes; Trematoda; Strigeidida; Schistosomatidae.
AUCCAGCUGAUGAGUCCCAAAUAGGACGAUACGCGUAUCCUAAAU